Molecule: long non-coding RNA, 217 nt
Organism: Phragmites australis (common reed)
Lineage: Eukaryota; Viridiplantae; Streptophyta; Magnoliopsida; Poales; Poaceae
Exons: 2
Source: RefSeq, a predicted model, not a curated record
CCGCAUCUGUCGAUCGCCCAUCGCGAGGGCAGCAGAAACCCUAGUCGCCACGGCCGCCUCGUUCAAGAAACCCAUCUCUCACCCUUCUAGAUCUAUGUGUGACCACAUCUUGGAUUUCUCAGUACGCCUGAAGAGUUUCGUUGAAAUGCCUUCUUGAAGUCGUAACGGGGCCAUAAUGAUUUUAUCUCUGAAACUUCCCUGCCAUAGCAAACAUUCA